UGUCACACGUGACUUCCAAAUAAGGAAUGUGCUGAGAAAGUAACAUGGCGGCAAUGACAAAGUUAUGGUCGAAUGUCUACAGAACAGUGGUCCCUCGCCGGACGUUCACGACAGGGAGGGUCCUGCGUGAUACUCCACCCGGAAUACCUAACGAUUCAAUGCCUUUCCUAUUUGGUAAGGAGAAGACCAUGAAUAAACUUUAUUUCACAGUCGCUUACGUGAUGUAUAUGGGAACUGCUUUAAUGUGGCCCCUCAUGGCAUUCAGGGACCAGUGUAUCAGAAUAGGCUCCUCUGUAGAAGACCCCUCUGACUAGAGGAUAGAGGUUUUCUGGGGCAAAAGUUAAAAGUGUCCGCCAUUGACAGGCAGCAUGAGACCGGACUGGCUAUAUGUCUUGUAAUGUAAACUAUUUUACCUGUGAAUAAAUUGUUAUUGUCA
Long non-coding RNA from Pecten maximus, 436 nucleotides. RefSeq lists it as uncharacterized. The transcript has 3 exons. Lineage: Eukaryota; Metazoa; Mollusca; Bivalvia; Pectinida; Pectinidae. The record is from RefSeq and is a predicted model, not a curated record.